CCCCAGAUGGGUGCCCCUGAAUCUACAGAGAUGAUCCUAGGCCAUACUGACACAAUCACACCAUUUCUUGGCCCAAACUGCACCCAGAAUAUUGGAAGUGGUUCAUGGAUGUACCGUACAGGUGCUCUAACUUAUGUCCUUCCUCCAUGCAGACAGUGUUCAAAAUGAAUCACUUCAAGAUCAACAGUCUAUGCAACUAUUCAAGCCUAGCUUACUAGCUCAGUUCUUCUAGCUAGUAGACGUGAAUGUGAACUUCUAGCAGUUUUUCUGUUUGUGGAUCGCACAGACAUGUACAGUGGAGGGGUUCAGACUGCUGAAUUAUGGCAGGCUACCGUACAUCGAGAAAAUGCCCCACCUCGAGUUUCUGGAGCCUGCUCAGAUUGAGAAAGGAUCGACUGACUUGUGCCAAGACUCUUUUGGAUUUUUCUUUGCUGCCCCUGACUGGAGCACCGAGUACAUCUGGCAGGUUGUACGCAAGUCACCCUUUCCCAGACGAAGGCCGGUGCUACAGGGAAACUAAACCUGCUUCUGAGGGAUUAGACAGAUUUUCACGUUUUGCUAAAAAUAGACUAGAUUGGACAAACAAGUUGUCUCAGCACUUUGAAGGUGAACUGACUUACAGUGACUGUUUAAGGUUCUUAAAACUUAACAACAGAAAAAUCUGAGAAAGCAAUCUUCAAGCGGAAUUGAAGUGGGUUGGAUCGAAGUGCUGUUUGUAUGGCUCAUGAGACCGUGAGCUCCAAGCCUCAAAAUACUUAAUUAUUAAAUGACUAGCUAUUUUUGUGGAUUUUUUUUUCAAAAUAACAUGUUCAACUUGGUUUACUUCUGGUGCACAGAGACUCUUUUUUCCUCACUAACAAAUUUGGAACGAGGGAAAAAAUAUCUUCUUUCGUUCUAUUAAUUGUGUUGUGCAUGCAAGACUGCGAAGGAAAAUCAUGAGAUACUGAGUUUUAUCUGAAUAGUUUUCUGAGUCGGGAACUGCACUGCUUGCUUUGUGAGGCAUAUAAUCAUCUGUUUCGAUUUGGUAAGCAUAUCACAUGCCUGUUUGUAGAUAGUUUCAAUUUUUAUUAGAAGCAACUAACUUGAUUAAGUCCCUUCAAGGUCCUUGGUGCACUCAAUCAAUCAUACCAUUUCAGUUCAGCAAACCAGGAUGAGAAAAUCUUGGUCAAUAUUGCAGAGGAUCUGCACAAGACUCAGUGGGUAAAUUUAUUGGUUCCGUGUCUGCACAAACAACACGGCAGCUAUGGGAUGGUGACUCCUGAUGUGCCGCGAUAA
Long non-coding RNA from Acanthaster planci (crown-of-thorns starfish), 1275 nucleotides. RefSeq lists it as uncharacterized. The record is from RefSeq and is a predicted model, not a curated record. Lineage: Eukaryota; Metazoa; Echinodermata; Asteroidea; Valvatida; Acanthasteridae.